UUUGGAGAGCUUGAUCACACGAAUUCAAAGCACGGCAAUUCCAAGUAGGUUGAAAUCGAUCAUCUCCUUUUGCUUUUUUUCUUGAUAUGAUUGUGUAGAUCUCACUUAGCUGAGCAUGCUGAUAUGUUUAGAUCUUGAUUUGGCUUAGAAAUGAACAUGUAUGAUGAGCUUCAAGUUUUGAUGAUGAAAAUGUUUUUGCUCG
This 202-nucleotide long non-coding RNA is filed under the name Lathyrus oleraceus (garden pea). RNAcentral describes it as "Pisum sativum (pea) long non-coding RNA (PSAT_LNC002326)". Lineage: Eukaryota; Viridiplantae; Streptophyta; Magnoliopsida; Fabales; Fabaceae. The record is from RNAcentral.